UGGAUUAGUGGCGGACGGGUGAGUAACGCGUGGGCAACCUGCCCUGUACAGGGGGACAACAGCUGGAAACGGCUGCUAAUACCGCAUAAGCGCACAGCAUCGCAUGAUGCCGUGUGAAAAACUCCGGUGGUACAGGAUGGGCCCGCGUUGGAUUAGGUAGUUGGUGAGGUAACGGCCCACCAAGCCGACGAUCCAUAGCCGACCUGAGAGGGUGACCGGCCACAUUGGGACUGAGACACGGCCCAAACUCC
Molecule: ribosomal RNA, 251 nt
Filed under: uncultured Lachnospiraceae bacterium
Lineage: Bacteria; Bacillati; Bacillota; Clostridia; Lachnospirales; Lachnospiraceae
Description: partial 16S ribosomal RNA
Rfam family: Bacterial small subunit ribosomal RNA
Source: RNAcentral